GGGGCUGUAGCUCAGUGGCAGAGCACUUACCUAGCAAGUGUGAAGUACUGGGUUCGAUCCUCAGCACCA
This 69-nucleotide transfer RNA is filed under the name Ictidomys tridecemlineatus (thirteen-lined ground squirrel). RNAcentral's name for it is "Spermophilus tridecemlineatus (thirteen-lined ground squirrel) tRNA". It matches the Rfam family "tRNA". Rfam says of the family: Transfer RNA (tRNA) molecules are approximately 80 nucleotides in length. Their secondary structure includes four short double-helical elements and three loops (D, anti-codon, and T loops). Further hydrogen bonds mediate the characteristic L-shaped molecular structure. tRNAs have two regions of fundamental functional importance: the anti-codon, which is responsible for specific mRNA codon recognition, and the 3' end, to which the tRNAs corresponding amino acid is attached (by aminoacyl-tRNA synthetases). tRNAs cope with the degeneracy of the genetic code in two manners: having more than one tRNA (with a specific anti-codon) for a particular amino acid; and 'wobble' base-pairing, i.e. permitting non-standard base-pairing at the 3rd anti-codon position. Lineage: Eukaryota; Metazoa; Chordata; Mammalia; Rodentia; Sciuridae. The record is from Rfam by way of RNAcentral.